UUAUGGGCAAAUGGUGGAUGCCUUGGGACCAAACGCGAUGAAGGACGUGGUCAGCUGCGAUAAGCUUCGGGGAGGUGCUAACAACCUUUGAUCCGGAGAUUUCCGAAUGGGGAAACCCAAUCCUGCUUAAAACAGGAUUAUCAUUUAUGAAGCGAACCCGCUGAAGUGAAACAUCUCAGUAGGCGGAGGAAAAGAGAACAAUAGUAAUUCCCUCAGUAGCGGCGAGCGAAAGGGGAGAAGCCCAAACCUAUUUAUGUUUACAUAGAUAGGGGUUGUAGGGGAACAGCGUCUAUUUAGUUAGAGGAAGUUAGACGUAACGAGUUCAUUAGUUGAAUGCUCUGGAAAGUGCAAUCAUAGAGGGUGAAAGUCCCGUAAACGAAAAUGAAUUCGUGCUUCUUGCUGUUUUACCUGAGUACCAUCGAAUCAAGACAAGUCGGUGGGAAUCUGGCGGGACUACCCGCUAAGGCUAAAUACAAUUUGGUCACCGAUAGUGAACCAGUACCGUAAGGGAAAGGUGAAAAGUAGCCCGGGAGGGCGGUGAAAUAGUACCUGAAACCAUUAUGCCUACAAGGAGUCAGAGCUGAACUUUAUGUUCGGUGAUGGCGUGCUUUUUGCAGAACGAGCCAACGAGUUUUCUUUACCAAUGAGUCUAAGCGCUUUUGGCGUGGAGGCAUAGGGAAACCGAGUCUUAAAAGGGCGAAUUUAAUUGGUGGAGAAAGACCCGAAGCCAGACGAGCUUGCCAUGGCCAGGAUGAAGCUUUUAGAAAUAAAAGUGGAGGUCCGAACCCGUAGAUCGUUCAACGUCUUGGGAUGAGCUGUGGUAAGGAGUGAAAAGCUAAUCGAGUUUGGUAAUAGCUGGUUCUUCCCGAAAUAGUUCUAGGACUAGCCUCUCCGGCCACGUUCUUGGAGGUAGAGCACUGGAAGGAAUACUGCGGCGAAAGCUAGGUAUUUCUACCAAACUCCGAAUGCCAAGAACUUUGCGGAGGGAGUCAGACUACGGAAGCGAAGUUCCGUAGUCGCGAGGGGAACAACCCAGAUCGUCAUCUAAGGUCCCUAAAUUUAUACUAAGUGUUAGUAAGGAGGUGAAAUUUCUCAGAUAGCUAGGAGGUUAGCUUAGAAGCAGCUACCCUUUAAAAAGUGCGUAACAGCUUACUAGCUAAGAGAUUUUGCGCCGAAGAUUUCCGGGGCUCAAGUAUAGUACCGAAGAUACGACUUAGCAUCUUAUGAUGCUAGGGGUAGGGAAGCGUUCCUAUUGCAUUGAAGCAGGACUGUAAGGUCUUGUGGAGUGAUAGGGAGUGAGAAUGUUGGCAUGAGUAACCACAAUUGAGGUGAGAAUCCUCAACACCGUAAAACCAAGGUUUCCUCAGCUACGAAGUUCGUCUGAGGGUUAGGCGGUCCUUAGGAAAAGCCGAAGGGUUUAUCUGAUGGACAGAAGGUUAAUAUUCCUUCCCUUUGGUAUCAUUCCGUAGGGGGACACAAUCUUGUACUCUAGGCAGAUUAUCGGAUUUCUGUUGACCAUCUGAGGAGCAAUCCAAUGGAUGGGCACAAGAUUUGCUUUCGAGCAGGUCAAGCUAGACGAGCAGGUUGUCAAGAAAAGCCCGCAGGGUUAAUGAUAUCAAAACCGUACCGUAAACCGACACAGGUGGUUAGGCGUAAAUAUGCCAAGGUGAACAAGUGAAAGAUCCUGAAGGAACUCGGCAAAAAAGUAAUCGUAACUUAGGAAUAAGAUUUGCCUUCUAUUGCUGCUUGCAGUGGGUAGAAGGCCGCAGUUAAUGUCUCUCUGGCGACUGUUUAUCAAAAACACAGGUCCCUGCUUAAUUCGUAAGAGGAAGUAUAGGGGCUGAGGCCUGACCAGUGCCGGAACGUUAAAAGUGGCGGUUGCUUCGCUUUCGAUUCAUAAUGAUUCGGAGCUUAGUCAGUUUUUUUCAGUAGUUUAAAUGUUUUAUUUAGUUAGUAAUAAUACCUAUUUUUUAAAGUAAAUCAAAAUUCAAUCGAGAUAUCGACAAAUAUAUAUAGGUUAAUUUGUUUAUUCUAGGUAAAAAAUUGCGAAGUUUCCGUAUCGUUAUGCAUUUUAUUGUGAAUCGAGAGCGGAGCAGCUGACUGCUCCAAGCUUCCGGUGAACGUCCGCGGUAACUCUGACCGUGUUAAAGUAGCGUAAUCCCUUGUCGGGUAAGUUCCGACCCGCAUGAAAGGCUUAACGACCGGAGAACUGUCUCCAGGAUCUGCUUGGUGAAAUCGCAAUAGGGGUGAGAAUGCCCCUUACCUGUGGCUAGACAGGAAGACCCCGGGAGCUUUACUAUACCCUGGCAUUGAGUUUUGGUAUUAGAUGCGUAGCAUAGGUGGGAGACUUUGAAGUCAUUCUUUCGGGAAUGAUGGAGUCGCCAGUGAAAUACCACUCUUUUAAUAUUAAAAUUCUAAUUUUAUUAUCUGCGUAGGAUAACGAAAGACAGUGCUUGGUUGGUAGUUUAAGUGGGGCGCUUUUCUCCUAAAAGGUAACGGAGAAGUUUAAAGGUUGGCUAGUUCCGGAUGGAAAUCGGAAUGGUCCUGUAAAGGGAUAAGCCAGCUUAACUGCAAGACGGAUAUGUCGCGCAGGUGGGAAACCAGAACUUAGUGAACCGACCAUGGUUCGUAGGACCGUGGGAGAUCAUCAACUAAAAGCUACCCCGGGGAUAACAGGCUGGUAGUGCCCAAGAGUCCACAUCAACGGCACUGUUCGGCACCUCGAUGUCGGCUCAUCACAUCCUGGGGCUGAAGAAGGUCCCAAGGGUUUGGCUGUUCGCCAAUUAAAGUGGUUCGCGAGCUGGGUUCAGACCGUCGUAAGACAGGUUGGUCCAUAUCUACCACAGGCGUCGAGUCUUGAGGAGAGUUGCCCUUUGUACGAGAGGAUCAGGGUGAACCAAUCUCUGGUGUAUCAGUUGUCACGCCAGUGGCAUCGCUGAGUAGCUAUAGUUGGGAAGGGAUAAGAACUGAAAGCAUCUAAGUUCGAAGCCUACUCCAAGAUUAGGACUCUUAUCCAGGUUGAAGACUACGACCUUGAUAGGGUGCAGGUGGAAGUUCUGUGAGGAAUUGAGCCGAGCACUACUAAUUGGAUAUUAUACUUGAUUU
RNAcentral lists this ribosomal RNA (3105 nucleotides) under Parcubacteria group bacterium ADurb.Bin216. Its description in RNAcentral is "bacterial LSU rRNA". It matches the Rfam family "Bacterial large subunit ribosomal RNA". The record is from RNAcentral.